RNAcentral lists this unclassified non-coding RNA (559 nucleotides) under Hevea brasiliensis (rubber tree). The record is from RNAcentral. Lineage: Eukaryota; Viridiplantae; Streptophyta; Magnoliopsida; Malpighiales; Euphorbiaceae.
GAGAGCAACUACCAUAAUUUGAAUUCUUGAUGACUUGACUUUUAUUCAAGACAUCCUGUAAUGCAGUUGGGGAUGGUGUGACACAGAAAUGUGUAACAUAGAAAGUUGUGUUUGUGCUAAUAAAGAUUGAUGCAAAUUGCUCAACAUAGAAGCAUGUGGAAUUUGAAAAUGCUUGGUAGGUUAACCCUUGGGUCUGUAAACAUUUCAAAUCUUAUGUUCAAACAUAGGUUGCAUAUAAAUUUUGGUGGAUUUUAUUUUUAAGGAUGUAGUAAUUACUACUAGCUAAAGAACUUUGGGUGUGAACAUGUGUCCAGAUUGGAGCCAGGCCAGGCAGUGCCAACUGUCUCAUCCAAAGGAAAUAGCAACUCAAUUUUUUUUAAUUAUUUACUUAACAUUUUAUUUUCUUGGUUGAUUUAUCCAUUUUCUUAAAAAAAGGAUUUUUCUAUCCAAGUGCUGAUAUCUUAUUUUAUUAGCUUUGAUGUUUCUUUCUACAUUGUUGUGCUUUUCCAGCUACUUUGACAGUGGCUUAUGGUUGCAGGUUUUGAAUUGCCAUGAUUCU